GGAGAUGUAGCUCAGCUGGUAGAGAGUGCUUGCCUGGCAUGCAGGAGGCCCUGGUCCAGCACUCCA
Molecule: transfer RNA, 66 nt
Filed under: Mus musculus (house mouse)
Lineage: Eukaryota; Metazoa; Chordata; Mammalia; Rodentia; Muridae
Rfam family: tRNA
About the family: Transfer RNA (tRNA) molecules are approximately 80 nucleotides in length. Their secondary structure includes four short double-helical elements and three loops (D, anti-codon, and T loops). Further hydrogen bonds mediate the characteristic L-shaped molecular structure. tRNAs have two regions of fundamental functional importance: the anti-codon, which is responsible for specific mRNA codon recognition, and the 3' end, to which the tRNAs corresponding amino acid is attached (by aminoacyl-tRNA synthetases). tRNAs cope with the degeneracy of the genetic code in two manners: having more than one tRNA (with a specific anti-codon) for a particular amino acid; and 'wobble' base-pairing, i.e. permitting non-standard base-pairing at the 3rd anti-codon position.
Source: Rfam by way of RNAcentral